RNAcentral lists this ribosomal RNA (497 nucleotides) under uncultured bacterium. RNAcentral's name for it is "partial 16S ribosomal RNA". It matches the Rfam family "Bacterial small subunit ribosomal RNA", at positions 28 to 507 of the family's 1533-position model. The record is from RNAcentral.
GAUGAACGCUGGCGGCGUGCCUAAUACAUGCAAGUCGAGCGAACGGACGAGGAGCUUGCUCUUCUGACGUUAGCGGCGGACGGGUGAGUAACACGUGGAUAACCUACCUAUAAGACUGGGAUAACUUCGGGAAACCGGAGCUAAUACCGGAUAAUAUAUUGAACCGCAUGGUUCAAUAGUGAAAGACGGUUUUGCUGUCACUUAUAGAUGGAUCCGCGCUGCAUUAGCUAGUUGGUAAGGUAACGGCUUACCAAGGCAACGAUGCGUAGCCGACCUGAGAGGGUGAUCGGCCACACUGGAACUGAGACACGGUCCAGACUCCUACGGGAGGCAGCAGUAGGGAAUCUUCCGCAAUGGGCGAAAGCCUGACGGAGCAACGCCGCGUGAGUGAUGAAGGUCUUCGGAUCGUAAAACUCUGUUAUUAGGGAAGAACAAAUGUGUAAGUAACUGUGCACGUCUUGACGGUACCUAAUCAGAAAGCCACGGCUAACUACGUG